Molecule: ribosomal RNA, 468 nt
Filed under: uncultured bacterium
Lineage: Bacteria
Description: partial 16S ribosomal RNA
Rfam family: Bacterial small subunit ribosomal RNA
Source: RNAcentral
GACGAACGCUGGCGGCGUGCUUAACACAUGCAAGUCGAACGGAAGGGCCCUGCUUUUGUGGGGUGCUCGAGUGGCGAACGGGUGAGUAACACGUGAGUAACCUGCCCUUGACUUUGGGAUAACUUCAGGAAACUGGGGCUAAUACCGGAUAGGAGCUCCUGCUGCAUGGUGGGGGUUGGAAAGUUUCGGCGGGUGGGGAUGGACUCGCGGCUUAUCAGCUUGUUGGUGGGGUAGUGGCUUACCAAGGCUUUGACGGGUAGCCGGCCUGAGAGGGUGACCGGCCACAUUGGGACUGAGAUACGGCCCAGACUCGUACGGGAGGCAACAGUGGGAAAUAUUGCACAACGGGCGGAAGCCUGAUGCGGCAACGCCGCGGGCGGGAUGACGGCCUUCGGGUUGUAAACCGCUUUCGCCUGUGACGAAGCGUGAGUGACGGUAAUGGGUAAAGAAGCACCGGCUAACUACGUG